RNAcentral lists this microRNA precursor (93 nucleotides) under Choloepus hoffmanni (Hoffmann's two-fingered sloth). RNAcentral describes it as "miRNA (ENSCHOG00000015506.1)". Lineage: Eukaryota; Metazoa; Chordata; Mammalia; Pilosa; Megalonychidae. The record is from RNAcentral.
GGGCUCUGCGCGCGUGUUUGUGUGUGUGUGUGUGUGUGUGUGUGUGUGUGUGUGUGUUUCCAGCAUGUGCGUGCACACGUACUCCAUCACUCA